This 442-nucleotide ribosomal RNA is filed under the name uncultured bacterium. RNAcentral's name for it is "partial 16S ribosomal RNA". It matches the Rfam family "Bacterial small subunit ribosomal RNA", at positions 338 to 795 of the family's 1533-position model. The record is from RNAcentral.
CCUACGGGUGGCAGCAGUGGGGAAUAUUGGUCAAUGGGCGCAAGCCUGACCCAGCAACGCCGCGUGAAGGAAGACGGCUCUCGGGUUGUAAACUUCUUUUAAGGGGGAAGAGCAGAAGACGGUACCCCUUGAAUAAGCCACGGCUAACUACGUGCCAGCAGCCGCGGUAAUACGUAGGUGGCAAGCCUUGUCCGGAUUUACUGGGUUUAAAGGGCGUGCAGCCGGGGAGACAAGUCAGAUGGGAAAUCCACGGGCUCAACCCGUGAACUGCAUUUGAAACUGUUUCCCUUGAGUGUGGGAGAGGUAAUCGGAAUGCCUGGUGUAGCGGUGAAAUGCGUAGAUAUAAGGAAGAACAGCAGUGGCGAAGGCGGAUUACUGGACGAUAACUGACGGUGAGGCGCGAAAGCGUGGGGAGCAAACAGGAUUAGAUACCCGAGUAGUC